AUACGGAAGGUCCGGGCGUUAUCCGGAUUUAUUGGGUUUAAAGGGAGCGCAGGCGGAGAUGCAAGCGUGACGUCAAAUUUCGGGGCUCAACCCCGUCUCGCGUCGCGAACUGCGUCCCUUGGUUGCGGGAAGGGGAGGCGGAACUCGGGGUGUAGCGGUGAAAUGCAUAGAUAUCACGAAGAACUCCGAUCGCGAAGGCAGCCUUCCGGCCCGUCAACGACGCUCAUGCUCGAAGGUGCGGGUAUCAAACAGGAUUAGAUACCCUGGUAGUCCGCACAGUAAACGAUGGACACCCGCGGUUUGGCCUGUAUGGCUGAGCCGCCAAGCGAAAGCGUUAAGUGUCCCACCUGGGGAGUACGCCGGCAACGGUGGAACUCAAAUGAAUUGGCGGGG
This 393-nucleotide ribosomal RNA is filed under the name uncultured bacterium. RNAcentral's name for it is "partial 16S ribosomal RNA". It matches the Rfam family "Bacterial small subunit ribosomal RNA", at positions 523 to 918 of the family's 1533-position model. The record is from RNAcentral.